CCGCCGCGCGCGGCGGGCUACGGGAGGCAGCAGUGGGGAAUAUUGCACAAUGGGCGCAAGCCUGAUGCAGCCAUGCCGCGUGUAUGAAGAAGGCCUUCGGGUUGUAAAGUACCUUCAGCGGGGAGGAAGGUGUUGUGGUUAAUAACCGCAGCAAUUGACGUUACCCGCAGAAGAAGCACCGGCUAACUCCGUGCCAGCAGCCGCGGUAAUA
This 211-nucleotide ribosomal RNA is filed under the name uncultured bacterium. RNAcentral's name for it is "partial 16S ribosomal RNA". It matches the Rfam family "Bacterial small subunit ribosomal RNA", at positions 312 to 525 of the family's 1533-position model. The record is from RNAcentral.